GAUGAACGCUGGCGGCGUGCCUAAUACAUGCAAGUCGAGCGAACAGAUGAGGAGCUUGCUCCUCUGACGUUAGCGGCGGACGGGUGAGUAACACGUGGAUAACCUACCUAUAAGACUGGGAUAACUUCGGGAAACCGGAGCUAAUACCGGAUAAUAUAUUGAACCGCAUGGUUCAAUAGUGAAAGACGGUUUUGCUGUCACUUAUAGAUGGAUCCGCGCCGCAUUAGCUAGUUGGUAAGGUAACGGCUUACCUAGGCAACGAUGCGUAGCCGACCUGAGAGGGGGAUCGGCAACACGGAAACUGAGACAGGGUCCAGACUCCUACGGGAGGCGGAGGUGGGAAAUCUUCCGCAAUGGCGAAAGCCUGACGGAGCAACGCCGCGUGAGUGAUGAAGGUCUUCGGAUCGUAAAACUCUGUUAUUAGGGAAGAACAAAUGUGUAAGUAACUAUGCACGUCUUGACGGUACCUAAUCAGAAAGCCACGGCUAACUACGUG
This 496-nucleotide ribosomal RNA is filed under the name uncultured bacterium. RNAcentral's name for it is "partial 16S ribosomal RNA". It matches the Rfam family "Bacterial small subunit ribosomal RNA", at positions 28 to 507 of the family's 1533-position model. The record is from RNAcentral.